CAUUUUUCAUCAUAUUCAUCUUAAAAAAGUAAAAGAACAGCAACGCACACUUCUGUGCAUGGGUUUGUUUGAAAAAUGUGUUUCUAAAGC
Pangasianodon gigas (Mekong giant catfish) is the source of this 90-nucleotide non-coding RNA. The record is from the annotation of a GenBank genome assembly. Lineage: Eukaryota; Metazoa; Chordata; Actinopteri; Siluriformes; Pangasiidae.